AGUUAGUGGCGGACGGGUGAGUAACGCGUGGGUAACCCGCCUUACACAGGGGGAUAACACUUAGAAAUAGGUGCUAAAACCGCAUAAGCGCACAGCUUUGCAUGAAGCAGUGUGAAAAACUCCGGUGGUGUAAGAUGGACCCGCGUCUGAUUAGCUUGUUGGCGGGGUAACGGCCCACCAAGGCGACGAUCAGUAGCCGGCCUGAGAGGGCGGAUGGCCACAUUGGGACUGAGACACGGCCCAGACUCCUACGGGAGGCAGCAG
This 264-nucleotide ribosomal RNA is filed under the name uncultured bacterium. RNAcentral describes it as "partial 16S ribosomal RNA". It matches the Rfam family "Bacterial small subunit ribosomal RNA", at positions 90 to 354 of the family's 1533-position model. The record is from RNAcentral.